Molecule: transfer RNA, 76 nt
Filed under: Aphanomyces astaci
Lineage: Eukaryota; Oomycota; Saprolegniomycetes; Saprolegniales; Verrucalvaceae
Description: tRNA-Gly
Rfam family: tRNA
About the family: Transfer RNA (tRNA) molecules are approximately 80 nucleotides in length. Their secondary structure includes four short double-helical elements and three loops (D, anti-codon, and T loops).
Source: RNAcentral
UAUUAGUGAUUAUAGAUUAAUGGUAAAUCCUUUGCCUUCCAAGCAAAUAUUAUGGGUUCAAAUCCCAUUAAUCACA